GGUCUCUGGAGACCAGACUGAAUCAGAGGCAGAGAGAUGUGAUGCAGCGACGGCGGCACCAAACGUCUGAGGUGAGGAACCAGCGAGCGCGUGUGUUCACGAGGAAGAGAAAAGGGGGGAGGAGAGGAGGGGAGAGAGGCAGCGAUGUGAUGUGAUGGCUUAAGAGAGAGGAGGGGGGGGGUUCUACUGCUGAGUAAUAUCUCGCUAUUGUUAAAUGAAAGGCAAAGGUAUGAUAUGUUCUUCUUCUUUUCUCUUCUCAAGACUGGUCCUCGAGAAGAAAAAAAACAUCUGGGUUUGGUUUGUUAGAAAAAAUGUGGGUGAGAAAAAAACAAACAAACAAACAAACCAACAGUGGUUCAGAGAGGAGCAGAGCGGGAGGGAAAGCUCAGCGGGGAACAACAGCAAGUCAAUACCACGUUGGGGUUUGGAAAACGUGGACGAUUGGACAAUGAAUCCUGCGCCUGGAGACACCUGUUCCACAGAAUGAGCAUCACUUAUCCUUUUUUGUACGCUUGCAAUCAAUUCAAUCAAUUUUUAUACAUAUAAGUAUUUCCUUUUAUAUUUUCAAUUUAUACUGUAUAUUUUUGUUUAGUAUACUGCAAUUUGUAACAUAACAAAAGGGACUUUUUAAAUUAAUAAAAUAACAAAAAUGCACCUUUCUGUACAGAUCAUUCACUUGUUGUGGACUCCAUUUCAUUGAUGUGUUGCAUCAUGAAUUGUUUUUUUUCCAGCUUCUCCUGGAUCCCAACCGACAUGAUUCACACGGAGAAACCACAACCCGCUGAAAAUGAAUACACACACAUUUGUAAGCUACAAAUGGAUCUUCAAGACGUCACUACUCAUGUGACUUCUUGUAUAUUCUUUGAAGCCUUCUGGAAACUGUCCCACUUGAUCUCAUCCACUUUCCAGGCGAGUUUGUGAGUCAAGCAUAAUUGCACAGCAGUUGCCAUUGAUGGUGUGUGACAUAGUGUGACACUAUCGCAAUGAUUUUAAGAUCUCUAUGGACAUUUGUGUUGCACUCUCUCUCAUCUUUUACAGCCCACCUGGAGCAAUGCGAGGAUCUGAUUACUCCCCUUUUAGGGUCUGCGUCUGUCAAAGAUGCUAAUCAAUUUACUGAUUGAUUCAGUGUCAAAUUAAAUAGCCCAGUAAACCUUAGUCUUUAUGCGAGUCCUCAAGGACCUCUUGGACAUCAGAGGAGUCCAUGUGCACAAGAUCAAGGUUAAAGUAGCUCUCCGUGUGCAGGCUUGUUUAUGUCUGCGUGUCCUCUGUCAAAUGGGAAAAUUGUGUUUUCAUCAGGACUGUGGAGUGAUUAAACGAUGAUGUAACCAUUUGGGCUGUUCACACACUCCGUCUCUAUAAACCCCUUGGGCAGAAACAUUAACCUUUAAACAAGUUGCCGGUGAAGCUGGAGAGCGUCACACAUUUUGACAAUGAAACUGCAACAUGGGGUGAGAGGACACUUUAAACGUCCCAGUGUUUACAUAUUUGUUUCGGACUAAUAAACAAUGACGGAAGGGAGACCUGCGUGUAUAAACCACAGCCCUCUUGAGAUGGCCCAUGCGCCGGAAAAGUAAACCGAGACGCAAACUCCAUCGGGAAUGAAUAACACCGCGGCAGGAAAGUUGGACAGCAAGUCCGUCCAGGCAGGUGACUCCUGUCGGAUGGGGCUGGCUGGCGGGCUGCUGGGGGGAGGGGAGGGGGGGGGGG
Molecule: long non-coding RNA, 1707 nt
Organism: Gasterosteus aculeatus aculeatus (three-spined stickleback)
Lineage: Eukaryota; Metazoa; Chordata; Actinopteri; Perciformes; Gasterosteidae
Source: Ensembl